RNAcentral lists this ribosomal RNA (253 nucleotides) under uncultured bacterium. RNAcentral's name for it is "partial 16S ribosomal RNA". It matches the Rfam family "Bacterial small subunit ribosomal RNA", at positions 524 to 776 of the family's 1533-position model. The record is from RNAcentral.
UACGUAGGGGGCAAGCGUUGUCCGGAUUUAUUGGGCGUAAAGAGCUCGUAGGCGGUCUGUCGCGUCUGCUGUGAAAUCCCGAGGCUCAACCUCGGGCUUGCAGUGGGUACGGGCAGGCUAGAGUGCGGUAGGGGAGAAUGGAACUCCUGGUGUAGCGGUGGAAUGCGCAGAUAUCAGGAAGAACACCGAUGGCGAAGACAGUUCUCUGGGCCGUAACUGACGCUGAGGAGCGAAAGCGUGGGGAGCGAACAGG